This 356-nucleotide unclassified non-coding RNA is filed under the name uncultured Candida. RNAcentral describes it as "sequence contains ITS1". The record is from RNAcentral. Lineage: Eukaryota; Fungi; Ascomycota; Saccharomycetes; Saccharomycetales.
GAGAACCAAGAGAUCCAUUGUUGAAAGUUUUGAAGUUGUUUUCUACUAAAAGAAAUCUUGUGUUGACUGAAUUAGUUUAAAAAAAUAUUUGUUUGUGUUUGCAUCCACUGGGAGAACUCCCUCCCGAAAGAGAGCGUUCCCCCAACGAACAAAAGAAUAGUAGUAAAGUAAACUCCACUGUGUGUAGUAAUUAGAAAGUGUCGAGUCGUGUGAUAAAACACCUCCUUUGGAAUAGAGAGAUCCACGCACACUCCCAGGUCUUUGUCGGCUCCCUCCCCCCACUGCAGAACACCCACCAACCGCGCACUUAAGCGCAGGCAGGAGAAAUAGCAUUCACAGCAGAGAAAAUAUUUUAG